CCUACGGGUGGCAGCAGUGAGGAAUAUUGGUCAAUGGGCGAGAGCCUGAACCAGCCAAGUCGCGUGAAGGAUGAAGGCCCUACGGUUUGUAAACUUCUUUUAUAUGGGAAUAAAGUGAGGCACGUGUUCCUUUUUGUAUGUACCAUAUGAAUAAGGAUCGGCUAACUCCGUGCCAGCAGCCGCGGUAAUACGGAGGAUGCGAGCGUUAUCCGGAUUUAUUGGGUUUAAAGGGUGCGUAGGUGGUUCAUUAAGUCAGCGGUGAAAGUUUGUGGCUCAACCAUAAAAUUGCCGUUGAAACUGGUUGACUUGAGUAUAGGUGAGGUAGGCGGAAGGCGUGGUGUAGCGGUGAAAUGCAUAGAUAUCACGAAGAACUCCGAUUGCGAAGGCAGCUUACUAAACUAUAACUGACACUGAAGCACGAAAGCGUGGGUAGCAAACAGGAUUAGAUACCCCUGUAGUC
RNAcentral lists this ribosomal RNA (460 nucleotides) under uncultured bacterium. RNAcentral's name for it is "partial 16S ribosomal RNA". It matches the Rfam family "Bacterial small subunit ribosomal RNA", at positions 338 to 795 of the family's 1533-position model. The record is from RNAcentral.